RNAcentral lists this ribosomal RNA (1012 nucleotides) under Limosilactobacillus fermentum. Its description in RNAcentral is "bacterial SSU rRNA". It matches the Rfam family "Bacterial small subunit ribosomal RNA", at positions 29 to 1001 of the family's 1533-position model. The record is from RNAcentral. Lineage: Bacteria; Bacillati; Bacillota; Bacilli; Lactobacillales; Lactobacillaceae.
UUGGAUUGGGGGUGCUAUACAUGCAGUCGAACGCGUUGGCCCAAUUGAUUGAUGGUGCUUGCACCUGAUUGAUUUUGGUCGCCAACGAGUGGCGGACGGGUGAGUAACACGUAGGUAACCUGCCCAGAAGCGGGGGACAACAUUUGGAAACAGAUGCUAAUACCGCAUAACAGCGUUGUUCGCAUGAACAACGCUUAAAAGAUGGCUUCUCGCUAUCACUUCUGGAUGGACCUGCGGUGCAUUAGCUUGUUGGUGGGGUAACGGCCUACCAAGGCGAUGAUGCAUAGCCGAGUUGAGAGACUGAUCGGCCACAAUGGGACUGAGACACGGCCCAUACUCCUACGGGAGGCAGCAGUAGGGAAUCUUCCACAAUGGGCGCAAGCCUGAUGGAGCAACACCGCGUGAGUGAAGAAGGGUUUCGGCUCGUAAAGCUCUGUUGUUAAAGAAGAACACGUAUGAGAGUAACUGUUCAUACGUUGACGGUAUUUAACCAGAAAGUCACGGCUAACUACGUGCCAGCAGCCGCGGUAAUACGUAGGUGGCAAGCGUUAUCCGGAUUUAUUGGGCGUAAAGAGAGUGCAGGCGGUUUUCUAAGUCUGAUGUGAAAGCCUUCGGCUUAACCGGAGAAGUGCAUCGGAAACUGGAUAACUUGAGUGCAGAAGAGGGUAGUGGAACUCCAUGUGUAGCGGUGGAAUGCGUAGAUAUAUGGAAGAACACCAGUGGCGAAGGCGGCUACCUGGUCUGCAACUGACGCUGAGACUCGAAAGCAUGGGUAGCGAACAGGAUUAGAUACCCUGGUAGUCCAUGCCGUAAACGAUGAGUGCUAGGUGUUGGAGGGUUUCCGCCCUUCAGUGCCGGAGCUAACGCAUUAAGCACUCCGCCUGGGGGAGUACGACCGCAAGGUUGAAACUCAAAGGAAUUGACGGGGGCCCGCACAAGCGGUGGAGCAUGUGGUUUAAUUCGAAGCUACGCGAAGAAACCUUACCAGGUCUUGACAUCUUGCGCCAACCCU